AAGGAAAAAAAUGGGAGAGGCGAUUCCGAGAGGAGAAGAAAGAAUGGGAGAAGUGGUUGCAAAGGGAGCCGAGAAGAAGGUGAUGGUGGCCAUUGACGAGAGCGAGUGCAGUCAUUACGCUCUCAUGUGGGUUCUCGACAACCUCAAAGACUCCAUAACCAACUCGCCCUUGAUCAUCUUCAUGGCUCAGACUCCCUCCAACGGCAACAUCACCUUCUCGGCGUCGCUCGGCGCUGCUCGCAUGUACUGUCCUAUGUCUUCCAGUUA
RNAcentral lists this long non-coding RNA (267 nucleotides) under Malus domestica (apple). RNAcentral's name for it is "long non-coding RNA (MDOM_LNC011767)". The record is from RNAcentral. Lineage: Eukaryota; Viridiplantae; Streptophyta; Magnoliopsida; Rosales; Rosaceae.